UACGGAGGGUGCAAGCAUUGAUCGGAAUUACUGGGCGUAAAGGGCGCGUAGGCGGUUCAGAAAGUCAGAUGUGAAAUUCCGGGGCUCAACCCCGGAGCUGCAUUUGAAACUCCUGAACUAGAGUUCAGUUAGGGUAAACGGAAUUCCACGUGUAGCGGUGAAAUGCGUAGAUAUGUGGAAGAACACCGGUGGUGAAGACGGUUUACUGGGCUGAUACUGACGCUGAGGCGCGAAAGCAUGGGGAGCAAACAGG
Molecule: ribosomal RNA, 253 nt
Filed under: uncultured bacterium
Lineage: Bacteria
Description: partial 16S ribosomal RNA
Rfam family: Bacterial small subunit ribosomal RNA
Source: RNAcentral